Molecule: ribosomal RNA, 420 nt
Filed under: uncultured cyanobacterium
Lineage: Bacteria; Bacillati; Cyanobacteriota
Description: bacterial SSU rRNA
Rfam family: Bacterial small subunit ribosomal RNA
Source: RNAcentral
CGAAAGCCUGACGGAGCAAUACCGCGUGAGGGAGGAAUGCCUUUGGGUUGUAAACCUCUUUUCUCAGGGAAGAAGAUCUGACGGUACCUGAGGAAUAAGUAUCGGCUAACUCCGUGCCAGCAGCCGCGGUAAUACGGAGGAUGCAAGCGUUAUCCGGAAUCAUUGGGCGUAAAGCGUCCGCAGGUGGUUUCCAAAGUCUGCUGUUAAAGACUGGAGCUCAACUCCGGAACGGCGGUGGAAACUUGGAAACUAGAGUUCGGUAGGGGUAGCAGGAAUUCCCAGUGUAGCGGUGAAAUGCGUAGAUAUUGGGAAGAACAUCGGUGGCGAAGGCGUGCUACUGGACCGCAACUGACACUCAGGGACGAAAGCUAGGGUAGCGAAAGGGAUUAGAUACCCCUGUAGUCCUAGCCGUAAACGAUG